RNAcentral lists this ribosomal RNA (119 nucleotides) under Macleaya cordata. Lineage: Eukaryota; Viridiplantae; Streptophyta; Magnoliopsida; Ranunculales; Papaveraceae. The record is from RNAcentral.
GGGUGCCAUCAUACUAGCACUAGUUCACCGGAUCCCAUCAGAACUCCGCAGUCAAGCGUGGUUGGGAGAAAGUAGUACUAGGAUGGGUGACCUCCUGGGAAGUCCUCGUGUUGCACCCU